Small nucleolar RNA from Rhododendron vialii, 108 nucleotides. RefSeq annotates it as small nucleolar RNA snoR100. Lineage: Eukaryota; Viridiplantae; Streptophyta; Magnoliopsida; Ericales; Ericaceae. The transcript has a single exon. The record is from RefSeq and is a predicted model, not a curated record.
GAACGCAGAAAGCAUGGUUACGUGCACAUAAAUUGAUUUGGGUCUCUAGGUCUACCCUCUCUGAUACCUUUCGGCUUUAAUUUGGGAGUAUAAUUCUACAGCAAGACA